RNAcentral lists this long non-coding RNA (6715 nucleotides) under Triticum aestivum (bread wheat). RNAcentral describes it as "long non-coding RNA (TAES_LNC006552)". The record is from RNAcentral. Lineage: Eukaryota; Viridiplantae; Streptophyta; Magnoliopsida; Poales; Poaceae.
UCCUGUGUAACACAUUUCAUGUGAAUUGAAAGGAGUGCGAUGUAGUUACAAGAAAUAGCUCAUGUGCGCCGUUUUACAUGGCAAUAAUAGCCCCAAUAAGACCAAGUGGUUAAAACACGGGUCCGGUCGCCAACGGGACUGGGGUUAAGGUAGAAACGGGUCAAUAGCUCCUGUGCGACACAUUUCAUGUGAAUUGGAAGGGAUACGACGUUGUUCGAGCAAAUGUCUCUGGUGUAACACAUUUGAGCCAUAAAUAGCCCAGGCACAACAUGACCCUUAAACUCAACUGAUGCCCUCGUUACCUAUUAGUGGUUGGACCCACCACUUAUCCAUGUAUGCGUGGGACCCACCACUUGUACACAUAACAGCAGGAUGAUACGUCUCCGUCGUAUCUACUUUUUCAAACACUUCUGCCCUUGUUUUGGACUCCAACUUGCAUGAUUUGAAUGAAACUAACUCGGACUGACGUUGUUUUCAGCAGAACUGCCAUGGUGUUAGUUUUAUGGAGAAACAAAAGUUCUCGGAAUGACCUGAAAAUCCACGGAGCAACUUUUUAGAAUAAAUAAAAAAUACUGGCGAAAGAAAUAGCGUCAGGGGGCCCACACACUAUCCACGAGGGUGGGGGGCGCGCCCCCUGCCUCGUGGGCCCCCUGAACGUCCACCGACCUCAACUCCAACUCCAUAUAUUUGCUAUCGCGGAUGAAAAAAUUAGAGAGAAAGUUUCAUCGCGUUUUACGAUACAGAGCCGCCGCCAAGCCCUAAUCUCUCUCAGGAGGGCUGAUCUGGAGUCUGUUCGGGGCUCUGGAGAGGGGGAUUCAUCGCCGUCGUCAUCAUCAAUCAUCCCCCAUCACCAAUUUCAUGAUGCUCACCGCCGUGCGUGAGUAAUUCCAUCGUAGGCUUGCUGGACGGUGAUGGGUUAGAUGAGAUUUACCAUGUAAUCAAGUUAGUUUUGUUAGGGUUUGAUCCCCAGUAUCCACUAUGUUCUGAGAUUGAUGUUGCUAUGACUUUGCUAUGCUUAAUGCUUGUCACUAGGGCCCGAGUGCCAUGAUUUCAGAUUUGAAGCUAUUAUGUUUUCAUGAAUAUAUGUGAGUUCUUGAUCCUAUCUUGCAAGUAUAUAGUCACCUAUUAUGUGUUAUGAUCCGACAACCCCGAAGUGACAAUAAUCGGGAUAGUUCUCGGUGAUGACCGUAGUUUGAGGAGUUCAUGUAUUCAUUAAGUGUUAAUGCUUUGGCCCAGUACUCUAUUAAAAGGAGGCCUUAAUAUCCCUUAGUUCCCGUUAGGACCCCGCUGCCACGGGAGGGUAGGACAAAAGAUGUCAUGCAAGUUUUUUUCCAUAAGCACGUAUGACUAUAUUCGGAAUACAUGCCUACAUUACAUUGAUGAAUUGGAGCUAGUUCUGUGUCACCCUAUGUUAUAACUAUUACAUGAGGAAUCGCAUCCGACAUAAUUAUCCAUCAGUGAUCCAAUGCCUACGAGCUUUUCACAUAUUGUGCUUUGCUUAGUUAUUUUACCGUUGCUAUUGUUACAAUUACUACAAAACUACUACUGUUACUUUUGCCACUGUUACCGUUACUUCCAUACUACUUUGCUACUAAAUAUUUUGCUGCAGAUACUAAGUUAUCCAGGUGUGAUUGAAUUGAAAACUCAACUGCAAAUACUUGAGAAUAUUCUUUGGCUCCCCUUGUGCCGAAUCAAUAAAUUUGGGAUGAAUACUCUACCCUCGAAAAUUGUUGCGAUCCCCUAUACUUGUGGGUUAUUAAGACUAUUUUCUGGUGCCGUUGCCGGAGAGCAUAGCUCUACUCUUUGAGUCACUUGGGAUUUAUAUCUGCUGGUCACUAUGACGAACUUGAAAGACGAAAGAACUAAUUUUUUCCCCUCAACUACGAGGGGAGGUAAGAAACUGCCAUCUAGCUCUGCACUAGAUUCUCCUUCUGUUUUGAGUAAGCUUGCGACACCUAAACCUGCUUCUACUCUUAAUUCUGAUAUGUCGCAUGUUAUUGAUGAUGCCACUUAUGCUAUGCAUGAUACUUAUGAUGAAACUACUUCUAUAAUGCUUACCUAUUAAUUGGUGUAGUGCUGCUGUAUACAUUAGAAGUGUUUAUGGCCACAACAACCGGGUGAGGCCCAAGAAGAUGAACUAGAGUUUAUGCUACUAGCCAGCAUCUUAGGGUUUAUGAUUUGUUAUCGUCUCCUUGUCGUUGAACCUUAUUUUACUUUGCUUUCAGCCUCCUAUCGUUGUGGUUUGUUAUUAUUGUAUUGGUGACAAGUAUAUGUGUGUCCAGUUCAUUCGAGUGGUCUACCCUAUUGCUCUGCAUGUUAUUUCAGUUGUCAAUGGGCAUGGAUGAAGAAUUUUCUCUUAUCGUUUCAACCUCCUAUUGUCGUGGCUUGUUAUUAUUGUAUGUAUUACUGUCAAGGUUCCUCCUGCAAUCUUGCCCACAGACAUGUAUUUUGUUUCAAGAAUUUUCUCUUGCGUGUCUCAUGGUCAUGUUAAGAAUUUUGUUGUAAGCGUUUUUUAGUUUCCACACUAGCCGAGACCUGAUCUGUUGACUGUGGCACUAUAUCUGAUUCUCUUUUUUUAAGAAUAUUCAUUCUUGGUAAGCAAUAAUGUUUCGUCAAAAACAAUAGAUAGUAGUAAGAUAUGGGUUUCAUGUGUUUAAUGGUAGGAUAGACUCUUUUCUAAUCCUACACCAAGUGCAUGGCUAUGAGACCUUUAAUUUGUCCAUGCAUUUAUAUCACCUCUAUUGACCAGAGCAGGAUCAUAUCCUCGAGCUCUGUGGUGAUGAUUUUGUUGGGGGAUUGAGGUUAUAGAACAAGGGCUCUAAGUUGGACUAGCUAGGUUGACAAAGAUGGAUUCAUUGACGAAGAUAACUUGGGAGUAGCAAACAUGUAGAUGCCAUAUGGAUUUUGUCUUGAUGAACUUUCUCGUGUCUCGUGGUCAUGCCAAGAGUUUUGUUGUAAAGGUUUGUAUUUUUCAUUCCGGUCCAGACCUGAUUUGGUGACAGUGACACUAUCUGAUUCUCUUUUUUUAGGUAUUGUAUGUUGAUUCUUGGUUAUUAGACCUUUAAUUUCUCUGUGCAUUUAUAUCACAUCUUUCAUCCAUUGGGGCAGGAUCAUAUCCUCGAGCUCUGUGAUCAUGAUUUCAUUGAGGGAUAUAGAUUCCAUGUCUUUAUAGAACAAGGGCUCUAUCUUGGUGUAGCUAGGUUGAUGAUUCGAUGAUCCAUCAAAUCUAGUCUCAUUGUUUUGUCAAUGUGGAACCAUUCAUCAAUUCUGUACAGAAAUCAUAUGCCCCAAAUACUUUUGACCACUAGUGUACUUCGAUUUUGAUGAUCAAUAGCAAGCUUUGUUGAUUUCAAUAAUCAAGUUGAGGGAAACUUCCAAAAAUGACUGUCUUUGUUGUUCCAACUUCCCAAUUCAUACAUAUUCAUAUACUUAGUUGAAAUAAGCUUGCCUGGUAUACGAAAUUCACCACAUCCAUAACCUGCGGUAUGAGCAAUAACAGAAACAAAUAGAUGGAUGGUUUAUGUACAUCUUCACAAUAAUUUCUACCAUUUGGUUUCGUUUUGGACCAAUCUUGUUGUGACCUGCUUCAUAUCAUGUUGUUAUCUUCAUAAAAUUUAUAUUCUUGCUAUAGCUUUGAUCAAAAUUCUCUAGUAGCAUCAUCCAAGGCGUUUGGUCUCUACAACAUAACAUCAAUGUUUUUUUACGUGCACGUGCACAGGGAGGUUGACGACACCGACCUUCUCCGAAAUCGCUAGCAAGGAGAGGAGGAUAGGGUGGCCGAUGCUUCCCCGUGCCGACUUACACCGGAGGCGGAUCCUCCCUCCCUGUGUGCUUCUUCUUUCGUCCAAGCUAGGAGGCUUGCAUCUGGCUGCUCUUGACGAGCUCUUCAAGGUACCUACCCUCUCCCUUCCCUCUACUCUCUAAGAGAAAUGCCACACCUUGGUUCAUUUCAACUGUUCUUCCCUGUGAACUAUGCUAAAGAAAGAGACUACGUACAUACAGAGGCAAGAGACCAUUUUAGUUAUGCUGUGCAGCAUGCUAAAGAAAGAGUCUUGAUACAUUCAAGCCCUCCCUGGAUGGUUACACACCUGAUCUACUUCUAUCCUGACCAUGUAUGCAUGCAUGUUUGAUGUUAUUUCCUUCUUUCAUCCUAAAUCCCACCUAGUUCCAGUUCAUGUCUAUUGCAGCAAUGAACCAACCAAUUAGCCGAACUAAAAGGGCAACUUCCUCUAAAUAACAAUACCAUGUCACUACAAGGUAUAUUGAGUAUUCGAACUCAAUUGGCGUCAGACAUCACUACAUUUCUGAUUAUCCACCACAAGUUGUUAGCUCACAUGAUUCGAUUGACAUAUGGGCUCUAGACAAAGAGCCAACACAAAAAGACCUAUGAGGUUAAAAUUAGCUAACAUGGGGUUGCAAGUUCUGCUGGUGGCCAACAUUCCCUAGUCAUCUCAUCUUUCAAAAUGGACUAUUUGUCACACAUCUAAAUAUUGGGGUGAUGUAUGCUCAGUGCGUUGCUCUGUCUAGAGCUGGAAGACUAGCGUGAGUCCUUUUAAGAUUCAAGAUGUAUCUUUUUCAGUAUAUGAUUUUACACAUCUCCUUUAUAAACUAUAGGGUUUGUGGUGGUGUUAAAGUGUUGCUGACUUGAUGCAUGUGUUGCGCUUUCAGAUGCAUGCCAUGGCGUAUGUAUUAAACUGUUUGCUGAGACGGUUUUGGUGUCGUUGAGAUUGAUGAUGCAUGACGAUGUCGCAAGGUGCGGAGGAGAGAAGUAGACCCAAGAUCCAAGAUUUGCAAGCACCAGAUGAAAUGGCACGACGUGCGGGAGGGGCGUGCUAAUCUGUGCAUGUCUUAUUUGCAAGAUCCAAGAUUUGCAAGCACCAGAUUUGGUGUUUGUUGUCUGGUUGUUUUCUGGCAAAGCGCUAACUGUUGAUUGUGGUGCUCGAUGUAGUGUUGUGCACAUACACAUAAAAUGAAAUGUCAUGGCUGGUGCCUGCUCCUCUCUUUGUCGGCUGGCUGGUGGUGUUGACCUCAUGAACUAGCUCGCUAGUGUCGAAGGAAAUUCAAUUAUCCUUGUUUUAUGUAUGUGUUUUCCCCAACAAUGCAAUGCAAUGAAAUGAAUUUUUUGGUGAAAGGUUUAAAUAGCUGAUGUUGCCGCUGACGCAUUGUGUGGAUGAAUCUCUAAGAUUGGAUACUUUGGAAUUAUGGGGCCUAUCUGCAACUAGUUGGUUCAAUCAGGAUGGCAGUGAAUAUUUUUUGUGGCCGACUCAUCAUGAGCUAGUUUAUUUAGGUUGGAAGAUCAACAUGACCAAGUGUUUGUACUCAUGAACUAGCUAGCUGGUUGUGUAUGUGUUUUCCCCAACAAUGCAAUGGAAUGAAAUGAAUUUUUUGGCGAAAGGUUUGGAUAGCUGAUGGUGGUGCUGACGCAUUGUGUGGAUGAAUCUAUCUCUCAAAUGGAUACUUUGGUUCAAUCUGGAUGGGAUGAGUGAAUAUUGAAUAUAUAUUUUUUGGCCGACUCAUGAGCUAGUAGGCUGGAGGUUCAACAUGCAUAUCAUAUAGUGUGUGUGCUUUUUGCGAGCAAAUAAGAUUGUAGUAAGUUACUCUACAUCAAGAGACAUCGGGGAAAUUGUCUUGAUUAAGCCAUGAACACAAGUCAAAAAAUUUAUCACAAAUGUGUUUCCCUCUGGCACUUAUUUAAAUGUUUUAGUUAUUAUCAUCCUUUAGUAUGCAUGGGACCAGCAGCAAAGAAUGCCAACAGUCUGUCUGUCCAGUAAGCAGGCAUGUCACGUUGACUCUCUUUCCCAUGAGAAGAAGCGUGUCACUUAAUCAUCUUUUGCUGUAAGAAUUGAAUGCGCGUCUAGAAAUGCCCAUCAGCCAUAUAUGAAGGGUCUGGCUUGUGCCAACUCAUCGAUCUGCAGCACCGUCGCGUCCUCCUUUCCUCCAUCUAUCAGCCGUCCAAGGCCAUCUCUCUAUAUAUACCUGAGAUGAUCUUUCAUCCGCGUGCGGGGAUCUUUCAUCUGUCACCCGCAUAAAUAAUUUUCAGCAACAGAUCUCAUCUACUCCAAAAUUAUAUUAUGCAAUACCCAUACAUCUCCAUGUAUUCUAGAUCGUAACCUGCAUCUACGCAAAGCAUGGCUCUUGAUGCCACUGUUGGGUAACGCAACAGAAAACAAAAAAUUUCAGACCUACGCACCAGCCCAGGACCACUAUGGAGACGCAUACAUGGUUUGAUCUUUUUCGUUACCGACUCGUAGCGCAGCGGGAAGUAGAGUCGAUGACGAUCGGCGGUGCAGAUCCCCGCAGCUAGGAUUUCAACCUCCCAACCGCGAGGAUGUACUCCCUCAUCUGCCCAACGGACAGCCCUCCCGGAAGCGGUCGGACAGUCCCUCGGACGGUGUUGCGGACAGCCCUUCGGGAGGUACUCUCAAAGCUCGGACGGUCACUCGGACAGCCCUUCGGGAGGACUCACAGAACUCGGACCGCCACUUGGACAGCCCUUCGGGAGGCACUCUCAAAACAGCCCCUCGGGCACAAAGAUCGAAACUACAACCUCUCUACGGGGUUGAACACAUACGGUGUCAUCUAUCCGGCAGGGCUUCACCGUCCAGAACUAGUUCCUGUUGCAACCCAGACAGCCUUUCGGCUCUAUGAAACUAUUUCGUUGGGAGGGAGAGAAGAAGCCAGAUCAUCGCAAUGGCAUGUGUAUGUGAGAAUGGAA